CCUACGGGUGGCAGCAGUGAGGAAUAUUGCACAAUGGAGGAAAGCCUGAUGCAGCGACGCCGCGUGAGGGAAGAGGGAUCUCGGUAUGUAAAGCUCUAUCUGCAGGGAAGAAAAUGACAGUACCUGACCAAGAAUGCACGUCUAACUACGUGCAAGCAGGCGCGGUAAUACGGCGGGGGCCAGCGUUAUCCGGAUUUAGUGGGUGUAAAGGGUGCGUAGACGGUUAUAUAAGUCUGUAGUGAAAGCCCGGGGCGCAACCUCGGAACUGCCUUUGAAACUGUGUAACUGGAGUGCAGGAGCGGUAGGCGGAAUGCCUGGUGUAGCGGUGAAAUGCUUAGAUAUCAGGAGGAACACCGAUGGCGAAGGCAGCUUGCCGGGCUAAAUCUGACGUUGAGGCUCGAAAGCGUGGGGAGCAAACAGGAUUAGAUACCCUAGUAGUC
RNAcentral lists this ribosomal RNA (440 nucleotides) under uncultured bacterium. RNAcentral describes it as "partial 16S ribosomal RNA". It matches the Rfam family "Bacterial small subunit ribosomal RNA", at positions 338 to 795 of the family's 1533-position model. The record is from RNAcentral.